RNAcentral lists this long non-coding RNA (3132 nucleotides) under Theobroma cacao (cacao). RNAcentral's name for it is "long non-coding RNA (TCAC_LNC003265)". The record is from RNAcentral. Lineage: Eukaryota; Viridiplantae; Streptophyta; Magnoliopsida; Malvales; Malvaceae.
CUAGAUAAAGUAAAUUAGCUCAUAACUACUACUAAAAAGAUCACCCAAAGAAAAUCUACCAUCAAUAAAAGUCAAAGAAACUGAAAAAAGAACAAAAGUAGAGAAAGAAACUAAGAUUUGUCAGAUCUCGAAUCUUCAAUCGUUCUUGAUUUUCCUUGCUUUCUUACUUGCUGGAUGACUCCUUUUCUCUAGAAAACUCUCUCUGAAUAUCCUUUUUCAAUUGCCUUAAAAGUGCCUUUAAAUAACCUCCAAAAGAUCUAAUUUGAGUUAAAUCCAGAAUCAGAAUUUCAAAGGUACCAUGUUCGCAUCACAACCUCACUUUCUCGACACCAUGGGGCCGAACUUGAUGUCUCCUAGUACGCUCUCUACUACACUUGAUGAACUAGUGAUGCAAUUUUCUCCUUCAUUUGAGGUAAAUUAGGUAAAAAAAUAAAUAUGAAAGUUGUAACCUUGUCUCUUAGAUUUCCAACGGCUUAAGAAUCAUGUCAAUUGGACUUUUAGAAUGAGAGUUAUAUUUAAAAUACUGAAACAUAGAUUGAGAGUUAUACUUAAAAUACUGAAACAUUUACAAGAUAAGCACUUGGCCAUUCAUGCACUCUUCUUCACCAAUUGGAGCCAUUUUAAUUGCACACCUACAAAAACAUAAAACUAACUUAAUAAUAACUAAACUAACAACAAAUUAUCAUCAAACUAAAAUAAAAUAAAUUAAAUUAAAUUAAAUCAACCUAACAUGAUUUACUAAACUAAGACAAAUAGCUAAAAAUAUCUAAUUCCUAAACUAAAUCUUAAGACCUUAACCAAUUUAAUACUUAAAAUAUGACAUAAUAACUCUAUAAAAUAGAGUUAUCACACCCCCAAACUUAAGAUUUUGCUAGUCCUCAAGCAAAACAUUAAAGAAAAUUUAAACAAAACAUGUAAAUGAUGAAAACACUUAAAUGAUGAAAAACAAAUAACUAAAGAUGAGUUGCACCAAGCCAAUGAUCUUGCAUAAUUUCGUUAAAUUUUAUCUUAAAAUCUCAACUCAAGGUAAAACAUAGAUAUCAUUCAAGUCCAUGAUUCAAUUCAAAUGCAAGCCUAUUCUUGAAUGGAUUUCUAUGUGUGUGUGCAAUCUUUUAUAAAGAAUAUCAUGCAAUCUAGAUAAGUUUAUUCUCAUGCAAAAUUCGAAUUAAUACUAGAAUCCAAUAGGUUUGCUUUCAUCUCUCUCUCCAUUAAUGUAGACUAACACUUAAUCAAGGAUCUUUAGGACUUUAUUUAGCUUGUAAUUGUCACGACCCAAAUUUUGGGCCAUGACCGGCGUAUGGACCCAAUGGACGUAGCCCACCAAGCCCAAGCAAGCUUCUUUAUAUGACAUGUUCAUCAUUUCAUUAAACAUUGCUAAAGUCACAUUUCAUAAUUCCAAUUCAAAAUAAUGCUAACCAUUGCCAACUCAUAGUGGCAUUACUAAUCAAAAUAUACAUAUAUUGCCUAAAACAUACAUCUUAAUAAUUUACAUCGAGUUUGUCUAUACACAACAAAAGGGAUACUCGACUUCCAACUGAGAGACCUGGGUGAAAGUAUAGUUAUUGAAUGCCGAGAUACCUACUAAGGAGAUGAAUCUACGAGGACACCUCGACCUAGUUACCGACUGCCUCUUGAUCUGAAAACAUGAAGUUGAAAAUAGUGAGUAUAAACCCAGUGAGUGAACAAAGGAAGGGAACAAGCAAACGAUAAGAAAAUUUUAAGAAAUCAUGAUGCAUUUAUUUUAAAAAAUAAUGCAAUUUAGUUUAAUUCUAGUUGAAACCCCUCAUUAAACCCUUAAUUGGUUAAUCACUUGAUGAUGAAGGAUCCAUACAUAACAAAGAAUUUGAAGAGUAAAAACUUUCGUAGCAUGCAAGCAAGUCAAAUGAAUUUUCGCUGCAGCAAAAUUUGGCUCAAAUUAUCAACUGGCCGAGGGUUUCUCAGCUGGCCAAGGGUUUCUCACUAAAACCCCUCAUUUCAAACUUCAUUAAUUAAUUCCUUGAUGUUGGAAGUCCGUGAUCAACUAUGGUGCUAAAAAAGUGGAAAAUAGGGUAGCAACCAAACAAGGUAGCAAGCACAACAAAAGGUUUCUUGCUACAGCAAAAUUUCCUAUAGACAUCUCGCUACAGCGAGAAUGUAUUCUCGCUACAGCGAGUUACAGGGCUAUAGUGAGCCUCCCAACCCGAGAGUUUCUCGCUGCAGCGAGAAACAGAACACCAAGAAAAAUUCUCAUUAUGUCAAGCAAAGGCCAUUCUAUUGCAAUGACAAAAUCAAUUUGAAAAUACUCAACAAUUUCCAAGGUUCAACAUGCAAGAUUUCACAUACAUUACAACCAUAUACCAUAUUCAUAAACUUUCUAUUGCAUAAAUAUAUAUAUAUAUAUAUAUAUAUAUAUAUAUAUAUAUAUACAUACAUAACCAUCAAUACCACCACCACCCCACCCAGCUCAUGUGCAACCCCCACAUCGCGCACAUAGUUGAAGUCAUCAUGUGCAUCCCCCACAUCGUACACAACUAAUACCGCUGUGUGCAUCCCUCACAUCAUGCACAAGCAAUAUCAUUAUCCACACUCCCGCACCCAUCAUCACCGACAUGUGCUCCCCCACAUAGUGCAUAUGCUCGGUUUUAAUUACAAACAAUAUUACUAUCAAUACAUAUCAUAUAUAUUUAGAUAUAUAUAUAUAUAUAUAUUAACAUAACACAUGGCACAUGGAUUCAUCACAGUUGCAUUCCACAAUGCAAAACGUUUCAUUAAAAGCUUGUUCCCAUGCAUAUUUUAGAGAAAGACAGAUAAAAUAUUUCAAUGGAUUUAAUCAAACACAUAUGCUCUAAUCCCAAAAUAUUUUAAUGCAAAUUCACUCACCUUGGUGGGUUUGUAAUUGAAUUUCUUUUCAAAAUUCUUCCAAGCUAUUAUAGAAGCUCCCUCUUUCUCUCUCUAAAACACCUAGCUAGUGAGAGGAAGUAUGAAAGUAACACUUUUCAAGGGUUUUAAAGUGAGAGAGUGAAAGAACACAAAAGAUUCUAUGAAAAAGUGCACAAAAGCAUGAAAAUUAAAGCUAACUUGAGAAAAGUUACGGAGGUUUCAUAACAAGCUUCCAUGGAGGGUGAAAGAAACGUGAGAUGGGAGGAAGAAGAA